UACGUAGGGGGCAAGCGUUGUCCGGAAUCAUUGGGCGUAAAGCGCGUGUAGGCGGUUCGGUAAGUCUGCUGUGAAAGCCCAGGGCUCAACCCUGGGAUGCCGGUGGAUACUGUCGGACUAGAGUACGGAAGAGGCGAGUGGAAUUCCCGGUGUAGCGGUGAAAUGCGCAGAUAUCGGGAGGAACACCAAUUGCGAAGGCAGCUCGCUGGGACGUCACUGACGCUGAGACGCGAAAGCGUGGGGAGCAAACAGG
This 253-nucleotide ribosomal RNA is filed under the name uncultured bacterium. Its description in RNAcentral is "partial 16S ribosomal RNA". It matches the Rfam family "Bacterial small subunit ribosomal RNA", at positions 524 to 776 of the family's 1533-position model. The record is from RNAcentral.